GUCGUACGCUUCUUUUUCCACCGGAGCUUGCUCCACCGGAAAAAGAAGAGUGGCGAACGGGUGAGUAACACGUGGGUAACCUGCCCAUCAGAAGGGGAUAACACUUGGAAACAGGUGCUAAUACCGUAUAACAAUCGAAACCGCAUGGUUUUGAUUUGAAAGGCGCUUUCGGGUGUCGCUGAUGGAUGGACCCGCGGUGCAUUAGCUAGUUGGUGAGGUAACGGCUCACCAAGGCCACGAUGCAUAGCCGACCUGAGAGGGUGAUCGGCCACAUUGGGACUGAGACACGGCCCAAACUCCUACGGGAGGCAGCAGUAGGGAAUCUUCGGCAAUGGACGAAAGUCUGACCGAGCAACGCCGCGUGAGUGAAGAAGGUUUUCGGAUCGUAAAACUCUGUUGUUAGAGAAGAACAAGGAUGAGAGUAACUGUUCAUCCCUUGACGGUAUCUAACCAGAAAGCCACGGCUAACUACGUGCCAGCAGCCGCGGUAAUACGUAGGUGGCAAGCGUUGUCCGGAUUUAUUGGGCGUAAAGCGAGCGCAGGCGGUUUCUUAAGUCUGAUGUGAAAGCCCCCGGCUCAACCGGGGAGGGUCAUUGGAAACUGGGAGACUUGAGUGCAGAAGAGGAGAGUGGAAUUCCAUGUGUAGCGGUGAAAUGCGUAGAUAUAUGGAGGAACACCAGUGGCGAAGGCGGCUCUCUGGUCUGUAACUGACGCUGAGGCUCGAAAGCGUGUGGAGCAAACAGGAUUAGAUACCCUGGUAGUCCACGCCGUAAACGAUGAGUGCUAAGUGUUGGAGGGUUUCCGCCCUUCAGUGCUGCAGCUAACGCAUUAAGCACUCCGCCUGGGGAGUACGACCGCAAGGUUGAAACUCAAAGGAAUUGACGGGGGCCCGCACAAGCGGUGGAGCAUGUGGUUUAAUUC
RNAcentral lists this ribosomal RNA (921 nucleotides) under Enterococcus durans. RNAcentral's name for it is "bacterial SSU rRNA". It matches the Rfam family "Bacterial small subunit ribosomal RNA", at positions 61 to 952 of the family's 1533-position model. Lineage: Bacteria; Bacillati; Bacillota; Bacilli; Lactobacillales; Enterococcaceae. The record is from RNAcentral.